Molecule: ribosomal RNA, 253 nt
Filed under: uncultured bacterium
Lineage: Bacteria
Description: partial 16S ribosomal RNA
Rfam family: Bacterial small subunit ribosomal RNA
Source: RNAcentral
UACGUAGGGGUCGAGCGUUGUCCGGACUUACUGGGCGUAAAGCGUGGGUAGGUGGUCGGGGAUGUGCCGUGUGAAAGCCCCGCGUUCAUCGGGGGGAGGUCGCGGUAGACACAUCGACUUGAGGCAUACAGAGGGCCGUGGAAUUCCCGGUGUAGUGGUGAAAUGCGUAGAUAUCAGGAGGAACACCGGUGGCGAAGGCGCACAUCUGGCCCAAUACUGACGCUAAAGCGCGAAAGCUAGGGGAGCAAACGGG